RNAcentral lists this ribosomal RNA (423 nucleotides) under uncultured archaeon. RNAcentral describes it as "partial 16S ribosomal RNA". It matches the Rfam family "Archaeal small subunit ribosomal RNA", at positions 323 to 746 of the family's 1478-position model. The record is from RNAcentral.
CUACGGGUGGCUGCAGUUAGGAAUAAUCUACAAUGUACGCAAGUAUGAUAGUUUGAGCCAGAGUGCUUUCCUAUUUUGGAAAGCUUUUGUGGAAUGUAAAAAGUUCCACGAAUAAGGACUGGGUAAGACGAGUGCCAGCCGCCGCGGUAAUACUCGCGGUCCAAGUCGCAGCCACAUUUAUUGGGUCUAAAACAUCCGUAGCUUGCUUUGUAAGUCUCUUGUGAAAUCCAAUGUCUUAAACAUUGGGCGUGCAAGAGGUACUGCAUUGCUAGAGACCGGAAGACGUAAGAAGUACGUUCGAAGUAGCGGUAAAAUGUGUUAAUCUCGAGCGGACUCACAAUAGCGAAGGCAUCUUACGAGGACGGUUCUGACAGUAAGGGAUGAAGGCUAGGGGCGCAAAACGGAUUAGAUACCCCAGUAGUC